CUACGGGAUGCAGCAGUGGGGAAUAUUGCACAAUGGGCGCAAGCCUGAUGCAGCAAUGCCGCGUGAGGGAUGAAGGCCUUCGGGUUGUAAACCUCUUUUAGCAGGGAAGAAGCGAAAGUGACGGUACCUGCAGAAAAAGCACCGGCUAACUACGUGCCAGCAGCCGCGGUAAUACGUAGGGUGCAAGCGUUGUCCGGAAUUAUUGGGCGUAAAGAGCUCGUAGAUGGUUUGUCACGUCUGCUGUGAAAAUCCAAGGCUCAACCUUGGACUUGCAGUGGGUACGGGCAGGCUAGAGUGCGGUAGGGGAGAUGGGAAUUCCUGGUGUAGCGGUGGAAUGCGCAGAUAUCAGGAGGAACACCAAUGGCGAAGGCACAUCUCUGGGCCGUAACUGACGCUGAGGAGCGAAAGCGUGGGGAGCGAACAGGAUUAGAUACCCGUGUAGUC
This 444-nucleotide ribosomal RNA is filed under the name uncultured bacterium. RNAcentral describes it as "partial 16S ribosomal RNA". It matches the Rfam family "Bacterial small subunit ribosomal RNA", at positions 339 to 795 of the family's 1533-position model. The record is from RNAcentral.